AAAUACAUCUAGGGACCUAAAUUAGACCUAGACCCUAGGAUAUACAGAUCAGCCGCUUUUCAACAAAUAUAAGACCCCCCCCCCCCUCGAAUCAUCUUUUUCACAAACCCCCGCCCCUUGACUUCAUUCUUCAUCAUCAGCCAUCUUCGACCAAAAGCACCCCACCCUCAUCGUCUCUCUCUUCUUUUUCAAAGGACCAGCAACGCCAUUAGCAGCAGAACCGGCGAACCAGAAGACCCCACGCCUCACCCCUUUGUUCCGUUAUUGCCUCACCGGCGAGUGGCUGGAAACCGGUAACACCCCUUCAUCUUCAACCUCCCUGAACCAGCGCUGCAAAUUACCACUGCUUAGCCCCAAAAAAUCAGUCAUUCCUCACCCUCUUCACACUUAAUUAAACCUUAAUUAAUCUUCUGAUUUUGGUUUUUCAUAUUUGAUUUCAGUUUGUUUUUAGUUUGAUUUAAUUCAAAAAUCAGGAAAAAAGAGAUUCAGUCUUGUUUUGACCGUUCGUUUGUGGAAACUGAUUGAGAGGCCGUGGAGUUCGGAGUUUCGACCGCUGUUCAGUCCGAUUGAGUUCAUGAUUAGGGUAUUGAAGUGAGGUUUUGUGGUUCCAACUGAGUGUUAUUGUUGUCUUGAGGCUGAUUGUAUUCGUGGUUCUAUUCUGUUGGUGUAACUAUUGGAACUCUCUUUAAAGGAAAGCACAUUUCAGGUUCAUCUUUUCCCUUAUCGUUUCUUCCUUUAGUAUUGAUUUAUGCUCGAAAGAGGUAUUCGAUGCUCUGCUUGGUUGCUUUGAUACAUUGAAAUGCAUUUGAGGCGCUGCCAUUAUUUUCCUUCUAUUUUGUUGGGUUUGACACAAAUUCUACUUCUCUACUUCUGGAUUGGAGUUUUCUUUUAGAAUUGUUGUUGAGCUGAAGGUUUGCGUAAAAGAAAUAGCUACUGGGUUUCGAAUCUACAUUGAGUUGACAUUGAAAUUAAUAUAGUUCAGAUUCUAUGUUAAUGUUUGAAUGCUUAAUUCGUUGUUCUAGUUGGAAUAAUAUUCAUGUUUUGAUCAAGUAUAUCGUUCUCUGUUGUUUGGAUUAGAAUUUGGUUUGUGAUCCAUAUAUUGUUGGCUUAAGGAGGAUUCUUGUGAUUCUGGAUUGAAGUUGGAUAUUUUUUUUUGGUUGUUGUUUUACUGCUUUUGAGCUGUGAUGGUUGUUAUUGAAGUUUGGUGGCAUGGAUAUAAACUUGUGAAAGGUAUUUCUUUUUGAGACGUUUGGAAUCUUGCUGAUGUAAAGAUUCGAAAGCACAAUUAGACAAUCAGGGACAGCUUCCAUUUCGAAUUUUUUGAGAUUCUUUAAGGUUUUCCGGUGUCAAUUCAGAGUGUACGUUCGCAUAACUUCAAAUAAACUUCCUUAAUAAUAAAAUUGGUUUUCAUAGGCUACUAAUAGCCCAGGGUGUGCCAUCCACGAUUUAAUCAUACAUGGCCCUCAUAUAAAUUUCUUAUGACUUAGAUAUUAAAAAUGAACUUCAUAGAAAAGCCUUUAGGCGCGUUAAUUAAAUAAAGUGUCAUAGCUACGGGUAUGGUUCCCGUGACGUAGUUGUGACACACAAUUUCCAAAUUCGGGGGUGCAUUUCGUGUGACCCGAUCUUAAUUUCCAACAAGGUUAAAUAGAAUGUGUCGUGAAUCACGGGUGCAUUUCAUGUAGCGUGAUUUGCGAUACGUUUUAAAUAACCUUGGAAUAAUUCCCUAAAUAAAUAAAAGCGGUUUUAAAGUUAAAAUGCACNNNNNNNNNNNNNNNNNNNNNNNNNCAGACCANCUUGAUGCAUCCUAUGUGCUACAUGUUGCAUUUCUUCAAGGGUAAAGGGUCAUUUAGCGGAUCAAUGAUAGUUGAGGGCAAAUGAAAAAGAAAAAAAAUAGAGAAAGAAAAGAGGUUGAAGUAUAAAAAUGAAGCAAGUGGGGCCCAGUUAUAAUUUUCUUGCACACCUUUUCAAAAAGAAAAAACCAAAAAAUUGAAAAUGAAGAAAAUCCAAAAAGAGUUUACAUGUUUCAUCAGUUUUCAAAAAGACAAACAUAUUUUUCUCUAAAUUAGUUUUUUUUUAUUCUCGCCCAUAUCCAAUCUGCCCGAACUAUGCAUACCUGAUUCUCGUCUUUCGGGCCGUGAUACGUAGGAAACCCACAUAGGGUCCGGUCUUCCUAGUAAAUCUUAGGUUUUCGGCUUUGCGGGGUCUUAGCCAAAUUUUGCACUUCUAGCCAUCUUUUUGCCAAAUAAGUUAUUUUGCAAAAAUAACCUCAAUCAUGUCUUGCAUGUGUCUAAUAGGGAGUGUUAUUAUGUCACAUAGUGUUGGUUAAAGUUUUCUCAUACAGGUGUGGGUCUAUUUACCAGAGUUUGAGCAUGACAGACACCCCGGGACCAUCCAGUCAGGAUCGCUCAUCUAGGAGUUGCUUAAUGUCGAGUUGUUUUUAUUUUAUGUCAUCUUUUA
Molecule: long non-coding RNA, 2457 nt
Filed under: Nicotiana tabacum (common tobacco)
Lineage: Eukaryota; Viridiplantae; Streptophyta; Magnoliopsida; Solanales; Solanaceae
Description: long non-coding RNA (NTAB_LNC005278)
Source: RNAcentral